UUAAGUCCCGCAACGAGCGCAACCCUUGUCUUUAGUUGCCAUCAUUAAGUUGGGCACUCUAAAGAGACUGCCGGUGUCAAAACCGGAGGAAGGUGGGGAUGACGUCAAGUCCUCAUGGCCUUUAUGACCAGGGCUACACACGUACUACAAUGGCAGGUACAAAGGGCAGCCACUUAGCGAUAAGGCGCGAAUCCCGUAAAACCUGUCUCAGUCCGGAUUGGAGUCUGCAACUCGACUCCAUGAAGUUGGAAUCGCUAGCAAUCGCAGAUCAGCACGCUGCGGUGAAUACGUUCCCGGGCCUU
RNAcentral lists this ribosomal RNA (302 nucleotides) under uncultured Desulfocapsa sp. RNAcentral's name for it is "bacterial SSU rRNA". It matches the Rfam family "Bacterial small subunit ribosomal RNA", at positions 1080 to 1382 of the family's 1533-position model. Lineage: Bacteria; Pseudomonadati; Thermodesulfobacteriota; Desulfobulbia; Desulfobulbales; Desulfocapsaceae. The record is from RNAcentral.